This 566-nucleotide long non-coding RNA is filed under the name Anas platyrhynchos platyrhynchos (common mallard). Its description in RNAcentral is "lncRNA (ENSAPLG00000022364.1)". Lineage: Eukaryota; Metazoa; Chordata; Aves; Anseriformes; Anatidae. The record is from RNAcentral.
CCCCCUCCUGAAAUUUAAAUAUUACCAAAAUAUUCACAACACAGAAUGUUUUAUUCUUCAGUCUUAGUUUGAUGUUAAUCUCCUGUUUCCCACAAAUAUACAUGGAGAUCUGAAAAUCUUGAAAACAAGACCAGAAACAGAAUACUGAACCCAAGGGGGGCAAAUUGAGCAGGGGACAAAUUGAUGCCCAGCAUUUGAGCAUCAACUGAAAGCUGUAAGAAUGGUUCUUGGAGUGACUGCAUGUCAUUCAUUCUCUGACAGGCUGCAGCAACGGCUAAAUGAUGUUUCCCAACUCAGACAUAAUGGAUUGCUGCUUCUCCCAGUAUGAGAAAAGAAGCCCCCAUGGGAAGGGCUGUUUUGUUGCCUCAGGUAGCACCGAGCAGCAUCAGGUUGGAAGAGGCAUGGCUGCCCUGGACAGCCUGGGCAGGGAGGCAGAGAAGGAACCAUCUCUUCAGGGACCUGGCAGGCUCCAAUGUGCUCGACUGAGUCACCUCACCUUCACUGAACCUCACUUACUGGCACAGGCAAUCCACUUCCUGCAUCUGAAAGAUAAUUUUAUACUUUAA